CGUGUAGGCGGGUCUUUAAGUCAGGGGUGAAAUGCCAAGGCUCAACCUUGGAACUGCCUUUGAUACUGGAGAUCUUGAGUCCGGGAGAGGUGAGUGGAAUUGCGAGUGUAGAGGUGAAAUUCGUAGAUAUUCGCAAGAACACCAGUGGCGAAGGCGGCUCACUGGCCCGGAACUGACGCUGAGACGCGAAAGCGUGGGGAGCAAACAGGAUUAGAUACCCUGGUAGUCCACGCUGUAAACGAUGGAUGCUAGCCGUUGGGGAGCUUGCUCUUCAGUGGCGCAGCCAACGCUUUAAGCAUCCCGCCUGGGGAGUACGGUCGCAAGAUUAAA
RNAcentral lists this ribosomal RNA (330 nucleotides) under uncultured bacterium. RNAcentral describes it as "bacterial SSU rRNA". It matches the Rfam family "Bacterial small subunit ribosomal RNA", at positions 568 to 898 of the family's 1533-position model. The record is from RNAcentral.